Molecule: transfer RNA, 73 nt
Filed under: Elusimicrobiaceae bacterium
Lineage: Bacteria; Pseudomonadati; Elusimicrobiota; Elusimicrobia; Elusimicrobiales; Elusimicrobiaceae
Also listed under: 1 other name
Description: tRNA-Thr
Rfam family: tRNA
About the family: Transfer RNA (tRNA) molecules are approximately 80 nucleotides in length.
Source: RNAcentral
GCCGAGAUAGCUCAGCUGGUAGAGCAGCCGCUUCGUAAGCGGCAGGUCGUGGGUUCGAACCCCAUUCUCGGCU